GAAAGGUCAGGUAUGCUUAACACACUAUUUGUGCCUGGCUGACACAAGCGGAGGACGCCUGCCAGUGAGUUGUGUCUCAUCUGUUGUGAUUGUUUUUGACAGAUGGAACUUGGAGCCUACAAAAGGCCUGCGCGUAGAAGGUUCCGCUGGAUAACGAGUGGAGGAUCGAGAAAAGGUUCCGAUCCGACUUGGAAGGACCCACCCUCUAUUCGGGAUCGACAUGGGGAAGAAGGCCUUCAGGCGUCGAUCCAACCUCUCAAUCACGGAUGAAAAUCCAGGAGAACCUAAUUGAACUAGAGUCGCUAACCGAAACUACCAUGCUGACUCAUUACCCGCCGCCGCAGUCCGAUUUCGGCUAUCCUCAACAGGGGCUCCCAUCCAUAGACAACGUUGAGGCACAAUCGUGGUUCUCAAACUUCUUGCAGCCUUCGCCCGAAGGAGAUGACUCGAUGCUUAUGCUCCGGUCCGAUGAUCAACAGUCGAUACAUAUUCCAGACUGGCUUUCCGGUCCGGUCUCCGAUAGUGAUCAGAACGUUUCCGGUAAUUUUUUAUCUCUUAUCUAUAUUGAUUCAUCUAUCGGCCUAUAUUCCACUCGAUCAAUCAUUCAGUGAACUAAUCGCUUUGUCAAAAUACAUGUUCA
This 640-nucleotide long non-coding RNA is filed under the name Bemisia tabaci. RNAcentral's name for it is "lncRNA ENSSSA2NGG010618". The record is from RNAcentral. Lineage: Eukaryota; Metazoa; Arthropoda; Insecta; Hemiptera; Aleyrodidae.